GUGCUUGCUUCGGCAGCAUAUAUACUGAAAUUGGAACAAUACAGAGAAGAUUAGCAUGGCCCUUGCGCAAGAAUGACAUGCAAAUUUGUAAAGCGUUCCAUAUUUUU
RNAcentral lists this small nuclear RNA (107 nucleotides) under Spermophilus dauricus (Daurian ground squirrel). Lineage: Eukaryota; Metazoa; Chordata; Mammalia; Rodentia; Sciuridae. The record is from RNAcentral.